UGGGGAAUAUUGGACAAUGGGGGAAACCCUGAUCCAGCCAUGCCGCGUGUGUGAAGAAGGCCCUCGGGUUGUAAAGCACUUUCAUCGAGGAAGAACGCCUAACGGUUAAUACCCGCUAGGAAAGACAUCACUCGCAGAAGAAGCACCGGCUAACUCCGUGCCAGCAGCCGCGGUAAUACGGAGGGUGCAAGCGUUAAUCGGAAUUACUGGGCGUAAAGCGCGCGUAGGUGGCUUGAUAAGCCGGUUGUGAAAGCCCCGGGCUCAACCUGGGAACGGCAUCCGGAACUGUCAAGCUAGAGUGCAGGAGAGGAAGGUAGAAUUCCCGGUGUAGCGGUGAAAUGCGUAGAGAUCGGUAGGAAUACCAGUGGCGAAGGCGGCCUUCUGUACUGACACUGACACUGAGGUGCGAAAGCGUGGGUAGCAAACAGGAUUAGAUACCCAAGUAGUCCCUGAGCGGGCUGGCAAGGCGCAU
Molecule: ribosomal RNA, 472 nt
Filed under: uncultured bacterium
Lineage: Bacteria
Description: bacterial SSU rRNA
Rfam family: Bacterial small subunit ribosomal RNA
Source: RNAcentral